AGAAAAGCGUUGACCGGGAAAAGUAAGGUUCAACCGCUCUUUUUCAGAGAGCGCGGGCAGGUGGAAGCCGCGCAGAGAGCCGAACCCGAACGAACCCCCGUGAGCUUCCCCCUGAACCCGCGCAAGGCGUACAGUAGGGGCAGACGUCCGCCGCUCGUUAUCGCGGCAGUGCUUUCAACGGGGAGAGCGCACAAAAGUGACUGGUAUGCCCUGCGUACCGGUAAUUUAGGUGGCACCACGGAUACGGCAGCAUUCGUCCUAGCA
Molecule: non-coding RNA, 264 nt
Filed under: Faecalibacterium prausnitzii
Lineage: Bacteria; Bacillati; Bacillota; Clostridia; Eubacteriales; Oscillospiraceae
Description: T-box sequence
Rfam family: T-box leader
About the family: Uncharged tRNA acts as the effector for transcription antitermination of genes in the T-box leader family.
Source: RNAcentral